Molecule: ribosomal RNA, 493 nt
Filed under: uncultured bacterium
Lineage: Bacteria
Description: partial 16S ribosomal RNA
Rfam family: Bacterial small subunit ribosomal RNA
Source: RNAcentral
AUUGAACGCUGGCGGCAUGCUUUACACAUGCAAGUCGAACGGUAACAGGUUAAGCUGACGGGUGGCGAACGGGUGAGUAAUGCAUCGGAACGUGCCCGGUCGUGGGGGAUAACGCAGCGAAAGCUGCGCUAAUACCGCAUACGAUCUGAGGAUGAAAGCGGGGGACCGUAAGGCCUCGCGCGAUCGGAGCGGCCGAUGUCAGAUUAGGUAGUUGGUGGGGUAAAGGCUCACCAAGCCGACGAUCUGUAGCUGGUCUGAGAGGACGACCAGCCACACUGGGACGGAGACACGGCCCAGACGCCUACGGGAGACAGCAGUGGGGAAUUUUGGACAAUGGGCGCAAGCCUGAUCCAGCAAUGCCGCGUGCAGGAAGAAGGCCUUCGGGUUGUAAACUGCUUUUGUACGGAGCGAAAAGGCUCUCUCUAAUACAGGGGGCUCAUGACGGUACCGUAAGAAUAAGCACCGGCUAACUACGUGCCAGCCGCCGCAGUAA